GAUGAACGCUAGCUACAGGCUUAACACAUGCAAGUCGAGGGGAAACGGCAUCGAAAGCUUGCUUUUGAUGGGCGUCGACCGGCGCACGGGUGAGUAACGCGUAUCCAACCUGCCCAUCACUUGGGAAUAACCUUGCGAAAGUAAGACUAAUGCCCAAUGACAUCCCACGAAGGCAUCCGAAUGGGAUUAAAGAUUUAUCGGUGAUGGAUGGGGAUGCGUCUGGUUAGCUUGUUGGCGGGGUGACGGCCCACCAAGGCAACGAUCAGUAGGGGUUCUGAGAGGAAGGUCCCCCACAUUGGAACUGAGACACGGUCCAAACUCCUACGGGAGGCAGCAGUGAGGAAUAUUGGUCAAUGGGCGAGAGCCUGAACCAGCCAAGUAGCGUGCAGGAUGACGGCCCUAUGGGUUGUAAACUGCUUUUAUAAGGGAAUAAAGUGGGUCACGUGUGACUUUUUGCAUGUACCUUAUGAAUAAGGACCGGCUAAUUCCGUG
RNAcentral lists this ribosomal RNA (492 nucleotides) under uncultured bacterium. RNAcentral describes it as "partial 16S ribosomal RNA". It matches the Rfam family "Bacterial small subunit ribosomal RNA", at positions 28 to 507 of the family's 1533-position model. The record is from RNAcentral.